RNAcentral lists this ribosomal RNA (2659 nucleotides) under Drosophila melanogaster (fruit fly). Its description in RNAcentral is "eukaryotic LSU rRNA". The stretch from base 463 to 2652 matches the Rfam family "Eukaryotic large subunit ribosomal RNA". The record is from RNAcentral. Lineage: Eukaryota; Metazoa; Arthropoda; Insecta; Diptera; Drosophilidae.
UGACUCAACACGGGAAAACUUACCAGGUCCGAACAUAAGUGUGUAAGACAGAUUGAUAGCUCUUUCUCGAAUCUAUGGGUGGUGGUGCAUGGCCAUAAAUUUUUAUAAGCAUAUGGUAUAUUAUUGGAUAAAUAUAAUAAUUUUUAUUCAUAAUAUUAAAAAAUAAAUGAAAAACAUUAUCUCACAUUUGAAUGUGAAAAACGAAGAGAAAUAUUUUCUUUUUCAAUCAAAUAAUACUGAGAAAUGUCUAGCAUAAAAAAUUGAAAUAUUUUCAUCUAGAAUUGUCUCUUAUUAAUGAUUCGGAAAUAGAAAAAUCUUGGUUAUGUUAUUAUUCUUCGUUGGUUCGUUAAAAAUGGAUAAAUAAAAACUUUGCAUACAAGAAUUAAUAAAAAUGUUAUAACGAAUUUAAUUAAAUGUUUUAUCAUUAUAUAUAAAGAAUUUAUGGCAAGAUAAAGUUAUAUACAACCUCAACUCAUAUGGGACUACCCCCUGAAUUUAAGCAUAUUAAUUAGGGGAGGAAAAGAAACUAACAAGGAUUUUCUUAGUAGCGGCGAGCGAAAAGAAAACAGUUCAGCACUAAGUCACUUUGUCUAUAUGGCAAAUGUGAGAUGCAGUGUAUGGAGCGUCAAUAUUCUAGUAUGAGAAAUUAACGAUUUAAGUCCUUCUUAAAUGAGGCCAUUUACCCAUAGAGGGUGCCAGGCCCGUAUAACGUUAAUGAUUACUAGAUGAUGUUUCCAAAGAGUCGUGUUGCUUGCAGCACUAAGUGGGUGGUAAACUCCAUCUAAAACUAAAUAUAACCAUGAGACCGAUAGUAAACAAGUACCGUGAGGGAAAGUUGAAAAGAACUCUGAAUAGAGAGUUAAACAGUACGUGAAACUGCUUAGAGGUUAAGCCCGAUGAACCUGAAUAUCCGUUAUGGAAAAUUCAUCAUUAAAAUUGUAAUAUUUAAAUAAUAUUAUGAGAAUAGUGUGCAUUUUUUCCAUAUAAGGACAUUGUAAUCUAUUAGCAUAUACCAAAUUUAUCAUAAAAUAUAACUUAUAGUUUAUUCCAAUUAAAUUGCUUGCAUUUUAACACAGAAUAAAUGUUAUUAAUUUGAUAAAGUGCUGAUAGAUUUAUAUGAUUACAGUGCGUUAAUUUUUCGGAAUUAUAUAAUGGCAUAAUUAUCAUUGAUUUUUGUGUUUAUUAUAUGCACUUGUAUGAUUAACAAUGCGAAAGAUUCAGGAUACCUUCGGGACCCGUCUUGAAACACGGACCAAGGAGUCUAACAUAUGUGCAAGUUAUUGGGAUAUAAACCUAAUAGCGUAAUUAACUUGACUAAUAAUGGGAUUAGUUUUUUAGCUAUUUAUAGCUAAUUAACACAAUCCCGGGGCGUUCUAUAUAGUUAUGUAUAAUGUAUAUUUAUAUUAUUUAUGCCUCUAACUGGAACGUACCUUGAGCAUAUAUGCUGUGACCCGAAAGAUGGUGAACUAUACUUGAUCAGGUUGAAGUCAGGGGAAACCCUGAUGGAAGACCGAAACAGUUCUGACGUGCAAAUCGAUUGUCAGAAUUGAGUUUAGGGGCGAAAGACCAAUCGAACCAUCUAGUAGCUGGUUCCUUCCGAAGUUUCCCUCAGGAUAGCUGGUGCAUUUUAAUAUUAUAUAAAAUAAUCUUAUCUGGUAAAGCGAAUGAUUAGAGGCCUUAGGGUCGAAACGAUCUUAACCUAUUCUCAAACUUUAAAUGGGUAAGAACCUUAACUUUCUUGAUAUGAAGUUCAAGGUUAUGAUAUAAUGUGCCCAGUGGGCCACUUUUGGUAAGCAGAACUGGCGCUGUGGAUGAACCAAACGUAAUGUUACGGUGCCCAAAUUAACAACUCAUGCAGAUACCAUGAAAGGCGUUGGUUGCUUAAAACAGCAGGACGGUGAUCAUGGAAGUCGAAAUCCGCUAAGGAGUGUGUAACAACUCACCUGCCGAAGCAACUAGCCCUUAAAAUGGAUGGCGCUUAAGUUGUAUACCUAUACAUUACCGCUAAAGUAGAUGAUUUAUAUUACUUGUGAUAUAAAUUUUGAAACUUUAGUGAGUAGGAAGGUACAAUGGUAUGCGUAGAAGUGUUUGGCGUAAGCCUGCAUGGAGCUGCCAUUGGUACAGAUCUUGGUGGUAGUAGCAAAUAAUCGAAUGAGACCUUGGAGGACUGAAGUGGAGAAGGGUUUCGUGUGAACAGUGGUUGAUCACGAGUUAGUCGGUCCUAAGUUCAAGGCGAAAGCCGAAAAUUUUCAAGUAAAACAAAAAUGCCUAACUAUAUAAACAAAGCGAAUUAUAAUACACUUGAAUAAUUUUGAACGAAAGGGAAUACGGUUCCAAUUCCGUAACCUGUUGAGUAUCCGUUUGUUAUUAAAUAUGGGCCUCGUGCUCAUCCUGGCAACAGGAACGACCAUAAAGAAGCCGUCGAGAGAUAUCGGAAGAGUUUUCUUUUCUGUUUUAUAGCCGUACUACCAUGGAAGUCUUUCGCAGAGAGAUAUGGUAGAUGGGCUAGAAGAGCAUGACAUAUACUGUUGUGUCGAUUUUUUCUCCUCGGACCUUGAAAAUUUAUGGUGGGGACACGCAAACUUCUCAACAGGCCGUACCAAUAUCCGCAGCUGGUCUCCAAGGUGAAGAGUCUCUGAAGAUUGAGAUAGUCGGGCUU